AGCAGCCGCGGUAAUUCCAGCUCCAAUAGCGUAUAUUAAAGUUGUUGCAGUUAAAAAGCUCGUAGUUGAAUUUCGGGGUCAGCAGGUUGGUCGUGCCUCUGGUACGCACUGGUUUCGCUGAUUCCUCCUUUCUGAAGAACUGUAAUGUCAUUAAUUUGGUGUUGCAGGGAAACAGGACUGUUACUUUGAAAAAAAUUAGAGUGUUUAAAGCAAGCUAACGCUUGAAUACAUUAGCAUGGAAUAAUGAAAUAGGACGUUUGAUCCUAUUUUGUUGGUUUCUAGGAUUGACGUAAUGAUUAAUAGGGAUAGUUGGGGGCAUUAGUAUUCAAUUGUCAGAGGUGAAAUUCUUGGAUUUAUUGAAGACUAACUACUGCGAAAGCAUUUGCCAAGGAUGUUUUCAUUAAUCAAGAACGAAAGUUAGGGGAUCGAAGACGAUCAGAUACCGUCGUAGUCUUAACCAUAAACUAUGCCGACUAGGGAUCGGAUGAUGUUAAUUUUUUAAUGACUCAUUCGGCGCCUU
Molecule: ribosomal RNA, 520 nt
Filed under: uncultured Glomus
Lineage: Eukaryota; Fungi; Glomeromycota; Glomeromycetes; Glomerales; Glomeraceae
Description: SSU rRNA
Rfam family: Eukaryotic small subunit ribosomal RNA
Source: RNAcentral